This 417-nucleotide long non-coding RNA is filed under the name Sinocyclocheilus anshuiensis. Its description in RNAcentral is "lncRNA (ENSSANG00000043957.1)". Lineage: Eukaryota; Metazoa; Chordata; Actinopteri; Cypriniformes; Cyprinidae. The record is from RNAcentral.
ACAAAACCGUGACGAUAUUAAAUUAAAUAUGGCUGAAUAGAGCAUUUCUACAACUGAUGAAAUCUAUUGCUUCUGUGUGAUGCAGCACACUGUCAGCUAGACUGUCAUCACCUCGGCAUCCCAAACAGCGUCUGCUGAAGUCUGCUCGUGUGUGUGAGGUGGCCGGGAGAAAACACAUCUGCUUCAGAGACAAGGUGUCUCAAGGUGUCGAAAUGAUUGUAGAAACAGUGCUCCAGUCAAGUGGCUGAUAAUAUUUAUGACAUGUUUCACACCAGAUACACUCUGUACAGCCAGGCCUACCAGCACAAGAUCGUCAACAUCAUCGAAGAGAAGAUCUCAGAAGCCCUCAUAGCAGCGAAAGACAAGCUCUCAAAUAUUCUAAGCAAUGGUACAGGUGCUGAGAACCUAACAACAACA